This 160-nucleotide ribosomal RNA is filed under the name Ranunculus sceleratus. Its description in RNAcentral is "5.8S ribosomal RNA". It matches the Rfam family "5.8S ribosomal RNA". Rfam says of the family: 5.8S ribosomal RNA (5.8S rRNA) is a component of the large subunit of the eukaryotic ribosome. Lineage: Eukaryota; Viridiplantae; Streptophyta; Magnoliopsida; Ranunculales; Ranunculaceae. The record is from RNAcentral.
GACUCUCGGCAACGGAUAUCUCGGCUCUUGCAUCGAUGAAGAACGUAGCGAAAUGCGAUACUUGGUGUGAAUUGCAGAAUCCCGUGAACCAUCGAGUUUUUGAACGCAAGUUGCGCCCGAUACCAUUAGGUUGAGGGCACGUCUGCCUGGGCGUCACACA